Cloeon dipterum is the source of this 972-nucleotide long non-coding RNA. RefSeq lists it as uncharacterized. The record is from RefSeq and is a predicted model, not a curated record. The transcript has 6 exons. Lineage: Eukaryota; Metazoa; Arthropoda; Insecta; Ephemeroptera; Baetidae.
CAGUAGGGAGGAGGAAUAUAAUUUAUUCAAAAUUAAAUAAAAUAAUAUCGUUAUUUGAAAAUAAGUCUUUUUGAAUUGGGAUCAUCAUGAAUUUUAAAAUACUCAAGCUAUUCGUCACUUUUCUAACUUUGAUAGAAUUGUUUAAAUCAGAUUCCAAGAAACAAUAAAACAAUUUUUCUAGACAGCAUAAAAUACUGCAUCGCAGAGUGUCUGGGUCUGCCCAAGGUUAUCGAGGAUAAAACAUGCUCGUUCAACAGAAUGACUGGAAAAUUAAAAGGAUGUGAAGUGGGACUUCCUGUCAAGAAAAGCAAAUUCAAAGUAAUUUGCAAAUUCGAUAACGAUUAUAACAUUUCAGUACUAGUCCACGAGAAAGGCCAGCCACUGUGUGAUAUUUUAAUUUUGCCGGUGGCCGUGUUCAAAAAAGAAACAAACCUAAUGGAAAUGCAGUCUGAUAGAUGGGACAAAUGGAUUCCUACGUUCAAAUUUGCGAAAAGCUUGGGCAUGAAGUUGACCGUAAGGAUCGGCGCCUGGGACGAGUUUGUCAUGCACCCUAAGGAAAUCACCAAGAUUGCUAAGAACCCGCAGCUGACAGAAAUAUUCUCGCAAUGAGUGAUCGACCUGGUCAGCAACCACGAUUUAGACGGCAUCACCAUUUCAUGGAUGUGGCCUGGGUGUCCUCAGGCUGGCUGCAUUCCAGAUGUGGACAGAAAAACUGUUGCCAGCUUUGUGCGCGCAGUAGCAGUUCCAGUUAAAGAAAAAGGAAAAAUUGUCGUAUAUCACAUGUAUGGCGGCAUUUUGAGCACAAUAAUGGCAGCUGGGGACUAUUUCAGCGAUAUUGUUGACGUAAUAGACUAUUUCUACUUUGAAGCUCACUUUCAAAGUGGAGACUGGGAUCCAAAAACCGAUUUCAACUUUAACUUACGGAAAACUGUAAGAAACACAGUCUCAUCUCUUAAAAAUAACGUAGAAAAU